This 463-nucleotide ribosomal RNA is filed under the name uncultured bacterium. RNAcentral describes it as "partial 16S ribosomal RNA". It matches the Rfam family "Bacterial small subunit ribosomal RNA", at positions 28 to 507 of the family's 1533-position model. The record is from RNAcentral.
GAUGAACGCUGACAGAAUGCUUAACACAUGCAAGUCUUUGGCGAAGCUGUGCUUGCACAGCCUAGCCAAGGCGGACGGGUGAGUAACGCGUAAGGAACUUGCCCUGCAGUCAGGGAUAACAGACGGAAACGACUGAUAAGACCUGGUAAAGUCAGGCGGACUCAUGUCCAGCCUGAUGAAAAGUGAUGCUGCAGGAGAGCCUUGCGUCCUAUUAGCUUGUUGGUGGGGUAACGGCCCACCAAGGCGAUGAUAGGUAGCCGGCCUGAGAGGGUGGACGGCCACAAGGGGACUGAGAUACGGCCCUUACUCCUACGGGAGGCAGCAGUGGGGAAUAUUGGACAAUGGGGGCAACCCUGAUCCAGCAAUCCUGUGUGCACGAUGAAGGUUUUCGGAUUGUAAAGUGCUUUCAGCAGGGAAGAAAAAAAUGACGGUACCUGCAGAAGAAGCGACGGCUAAAUACGUG